Molecule: ribosomal RNA, 374 nt
Filed under: uncultured organism
Description: bacterial SSU rRNA
Rfam family: Bacterial small subunit ribosomal RNA
Source: RNAcentral
CGGGGGGAGCAAGCGUUGUUCGGAUUUACUGGGCGUAAAGGGCGCGUAGGCGGCCACUGCAAGUCGGUUGUGAAAUCUCCGGGCUUAACCCGGAAAGGUCAACCGAUACUGCAGGGCUAGAGUGCAGAAGGGGCAACUGGAAUUCUCGGUGUAGCGGUGAAAUGCGUAGAUAUCGAGAGGAACACCUGCGGCGAAGGCGGGUUGCUGGGCUGACACUGACGCUGAUGCGCGAAAGAUAGGGGAGCGAACGGGAUUAGAUACCCCGGUAGUCCUAGCCUUAAACGAUGAAUGCUUGGUGUCUGGGGUUUUAUAGUCCCCGGGUGCCGUCGCUAACGCUUUAAGCAUUCCGCCUGGGGAGUACGGUCGCAAGACUG